GGAAAAAAAACAAAAAGGAAAACAGAAGAACCCAAAUUAGGUCUCCAGUACACUGCUCACAGAAUCAUGAUCAAAGUCUAAUGAGGUUAUGGUUUGAACCUGCAUAAUUAGCAAAUCCUUAAAACCCUACUAAUUUCUCUUUCUAAACACAGUUUCAAGAUGGUUCUAAUCUCAGUCUUCACCCAAUCGAUUUCAUCUCUUCUAAGAUAUUCCAUCAAUUCCAGGAUGGGGAAUUUUAAGUGAAGUAUGUGGCUAGACCUGGACAAGUAAUGGAGUUGCUAGUGCUGGUAAUGCAAUAUCAACAGAAAGAAUGGAAGGCUGGAUUACUCAUAGGAUUUUCGCUUCUUCAGGGUUGGGAUAUCUUGGCUGGCAUUUGGAUUGCUUGGUAGUGGUAGACCGUCAGGUUAUUUCAAACCCUCUGAAAUGAAGAAUCUUUGCUAGCUUCAUCAUGGAGCUUAUGUGACUCUGAACUGGGUAUGGUAUGCAAACCGCAUGAAUCUUGUCCAUGCUGUUUAAUCUUUGUCUCUCG
Long non-coding RNA from Papaver somniferum (opium poppy), 529 nucleotides. RefSeq lists it as uncharacterized. Lineage: Eukaryota; Viridiplantae; Streptophyta; Magnoliopsida; Ranunculales; Papaveraceae. The record is from RefSeq and is a predicted model, not a curated record. The transcript is spliced from 3 exons.